CCUACGGGGGGCUGCAGUCGAGAAUUUUUCUCAAUGGGGGAAACCCUGAAGGAGCGACGCCGCGUGGAGGAUGAAGGCUUUCGGGUUGUAAACUCCUGUCAUUUGAGAACUAGUAUCAGAAGAGGAAGGGACGGCUAACUCUGUGCCAGCAGCCGCGGUAAUACAGAGGUCCCAAGCGUUGUUCGGAUUCAUUGGGCGUAAAGGGUGCGUAGGUGGCGCCGUAAGUGGGGUGUGAAAUCUCGGGGCUUAACUCCGAAACUGCAUUCCAUACUGCGGUGCUUGAGGACUGGAGAGGAGACUGGAAUUCAUGGUGUAGCAGUGAAAUGCGUAGAGAUCAUGAGGAAGACCAGUGGCGAAGGCGGGUCUCUGGACAGUCCUGACACUGAGGCACGAAGGCCAGGGGAGCAAACGGGAUUAGAUACCCCUGUAGUC
Molecule: ribosomal RNA, 432 nt
Filed under: uncultured bacterium
Lineage: Bacteria
Description: partial 16S ribosomal RNA
Rfam family: Bacterial small subunit ribosomal RNA
Source: RNAcentral